Molecule: ribosomal RNA, 654 nt
Filed under: uncultured Neocallimastigales
Lineage: Eukaryota; Fungi; Neocallimastigomycota; Neocallimastigomycetes; Neocallimastigales
Description: eukaryotic LSU rRNA
Rfam family: 5.8S ribosomal RNA (bases 229-383)
Source: RNAcentral
GACUGCGGAGAUCAUUAAAAAAUAAUCACAGUUUUGUGAUUUUAAUAAUCAUCCUACCCUUUGUGAAUUUGUUUUGUAAAGAAAAUUUAUGUUGUCUAUCCCUGGUGGUUUUUGGAAAAGUUGAAAAACUUUUUCGAAUCCUCAGGGACUAGGCUUUCAUAGACCUUUUUUUUAAAUUAAACUUUUUGUAUUCAUUUGUCUAAAAUUUAUUUUUAAUAAUUUAAAAACAACUUUUGACAAUGGAUCUCUUGGUUCUCGCAACGAUGAAGAACGCAGCAAAAUGCGAUAAGUAAUGUGAAUUGCAGAAUACGUGAAUCAUCAAAUCUUCGAACGCAUAUUGCACUUUUCUAGUUUACUAGAAAAGUAUGUCUGUUUGAGUAUCAGUAAAAUAUUCUCAUAAAAACAUUGUUUUUAUGGUUAUGAGUGUUUUACAACGAUAAACAAGUUGUUUCACUUUAAAUUGAUUUUUAAAAGCCAAUUUUUGGUUUUAUCUAAUUAAAAUUGGAUAAAAUUUUCCCGUAAAAAGGAAUAACUUUUCAGUUUUAAUAGUUAAAACUUAAUUGUGCCUAAUUUAAAAGGAAAUUUAACAAAAUAACUUGAUCUCAAAUCAGAUAAGAGUACCCGCUGAACUUAAGCAUAUCAAUAAGCGGAGGA